Meriones unguiculatus (Mongolian gerbil) is the source of this 389-nucleotide long non-coding RNA. RefSeq lists it as uncharacterized. NCBI's taxonomy places the organism in Eukaryota, Metazoa, Chordata, Mammalia, Rodentia, Muridae. The transcript has 3 exons. The record is from RefSeq and is a predicted model, not a curated record.
GCUGCUGGUUUUCCACGGGGCGCGCAACCUAGGCGGGAGGCUUCGAGGUUGAGUUUCCGUGCACGGUUAGCCGGCCGCAGAAUCGCUGGCCAGGCGGCUGCUCUCUUAAAAGUGCAAAUGCCCGACAUCCACCGUCUGUUGAUUGCGUCAGUCUGGGGCUAGGGAGUCGGAGUUUUAACAAAUAAUUUUCUCCUCCUCGAGUUGGCUUCUAAGGCUCAGAAAUUACAGUUCUAGUGGACGAAAGACCCUCAGUGCUGGAGUGCACAGAUCUGAUCUUCAGAGAACAUUCUACUCUUCAGAGAAGAUUCUACAGAGCAGCUGCCCAUAUGAGAAUAGGGAACAGAUGUACCAGAAGAUGGAAAGCUCUCCCAUGCUCAUGGCUUGGCAGG